GUGCCAGCAGCCGCGGUAAGACGUAGGGCGCGAGCGUUGUCCGGAUUUAUUGGGCGUAAAGAGCUCGUAGGCGGCUUGUUGCGUCGGCUGUGAAAACCCGCAGCUCAACUGUGGGCUUGCAGCCGAUACGGGCAGGCUAGAAUUCGGUAGGGGAGACUGGAAUUCCUGGUGUAGCGGUGAAAUGCGCAGAUAUCAGGAGGAACACCGGUGGCGAAGGCGGGUCUCUGGGCCGAUAUUGACGCUGAGGAGCGAAAGCGUGGGGAGCGAACAGGAUUAGAAACCCUCGUAGUCC
This 292-nucleotide ribosomal RNA is filed under the name uncultured bacterium. RNAcentral's name for it is "partial 16S ribosomal RNA". It matches the Rfam family "Bacterial small subunit ribosomal RNA", at positions 505 to 796 of the family's 1533-position model. The record is from RNAcentral.